This 333-nucleotide long non-coding RNA is filed under the name Brassica napus (rape). Its description in RNAcentral is "long non-coding RNA (BNAP_LNC004033)". Lineage: Eukaryota; Viridiplantae; Streptophyta; Magnoliopsida; Brassicales; Brassicaceae. The record is from RNAcentral.
GACACGUUUUGAGAACGGUAUCUUUUGGGAAAGCUUGUAAAGAGUAAUGGUCCCUCCUCCACUCUCGCUUUCUCGCUCCAUAACCCUACCAAAAAAUCCUCUGUUCCAUCACAUCUGACUACCACUACUCACUAUUACUUGUUUUGGCUACCAUGCACCAAAACCUCCAGCGUAUAUUAGAGUCUCCCAGCACUAUAAUCAGGCAGACAUAACUUUCACGCUCUUAUGAUUGACGCUUGUCACUCUCUACCACCCCCAAUAUCUUAGCUUAUACAAAUUAGGCAACCGCAUACAUGUACACAUCUUUUUGAUGUAAUACAUGUGCACAUCUUA